Molecule: ribosomal RNA, 443 nt
Filed under: uncultured bacterium
Lineage: Bacteria
Description: partial 16S ribosomal RNA
Rfam family: Bacterial small subunit ribosomal RNA
Source: RNAcentral
CCUACGGGGGGCAGCAGUGGGGAAUAUUGGGCAAUGGGCGCAAGCCUGACCCAGCAACGCCGCGUGAAUGAUGAAGGCUUUCGGGUUGUAAACUUCUUUUCUCAGGGACGAAGAAAGUGACGGUACCUUAGUAAUAAGCCACGGCUAACUACGUGCCAGCAGCCGCGGUAAUACGUAGGUGGCAAGCGUUAUCCGGAUUUAUUGGGUGUAAAGGGUGCGUAGGCGGGAUCGCAAGUAUGAUGUGAAAUUUCAGGGCGUAACCCUGGCCCUGCUUUGGAAACUGUUUUUCUUGAGUGCUGGAGAGGCAAACGGAAUUCCGUGUGUAGCGGUGAAAUGCGUAGAUAUGAGGAGGAACACCAGUGGCGAAGGCGAGUUGCUGGACAGUAACUGACGCUGAGGCGCGAAAGCGUGGGGAGCAAACAGGAUUAGAUACCCCAGUAGUC